AUGCUCACUUCAGCAGCACAUAUCCUAAAAUUGGAACGAUACAGAGAAGAUGAGCAUGCCCCUGUGCAAGGAUGACACUCAGAAUCCCUGAAGCCUUCCAUAUUUUU
This is a small nuclear RNA of Ochotona princeps (American pika), 107 nucleotides long. The record is from Ensembl. Lineage: Eukaryota; Metazoa; Chordata; Mammalia; Lagomorpha; Ochotonidae.